RNAcentral lists this ribosomal RNA (233 nucleotides) under uncultured bacterium. RNAcentral's name for it is "partial 16S ribosomal RNA". It matches the Rfam family "Bacterial small subunit ribosomal RNA", at positions 1258 to 1500 of the family's 1533-position model. The record is from RNAcentral.
UGAGGUGGAGCGAACCCCUAAAAGCCGUCCCAGUUCAGAUCGCAGUCUGCAACCCGACUGCGUGAAGUCGGAAUCGCUAGUAAUCGCGGAUCAGCAUGCCGCGGUGAAUACGUUCCCGGGCCUUGUACACACCGCCCGUCAAGCCAUGGGAGCCGGGGGCGCCUGAAGUCCGGGACCGCGAGGACCGGCCUAGGGCGAAACUGGUAACUGGGGCUAAGUCGUAACAAGGUAUC